Molecule: ribosomal RNA, 253 nt
Filed under: uncultured bacterium
Lineage: Bacteria
Description: partial 16S ribosomal RNA
Rfam family: Bacterial small subunit ribosomal RNA
Source: RNAcentral
UACGGAGGGUGCGAGCGUUGUCCGGAAUUACUGGGCGUAAAGGGCGCGCAGGCGGCGCAUUUUGUCAGGCGUGAAAGCCCCGGGCUUAACCUGGGAACUGCGUUUGAUACGGAUGGGCUAGAGUUCGGGAGAGGGGAGUGGAAUUCCCAGUGUAGAGGUGAAAUUCGUAGAUAUUGGGAAGAACACCGGUGGCGAAGGCGGCUCUCUGGACCGAGACUGACGCUGAGGCGCGAAAGCGUGGGGAGCAAACAGG